Molecule: ribosomal RNA, 253 nt
Filed under: uncultured bacterium
Lineage: Bacteria
Description: partial 16S ribosomal RNA
Rfam family: Bacterial small subunit ribosomal RNA
Source: RNAcentral
UACGUAGGGGGCAAGCGUUGUCCGGAAUCAUUGGGCGUAAAGCGCGCGUAGGUGGCCCGGUAAGUCCGCUGUAAAAGUCCAGGGCUCAACCCUGGAAAGCCGGUGGAUACUGUCGGGCUCGAGUCCGGAAGAGGCGAGUGGAAUUCCUGGUGUAGCGGUGGAAUGCGCAGAUAUCAGGAGGAACACCAAUUGCGAAGGCAGCUCGCUGGGACGUUACUGACGCUGAGACGCGAAAGCGUGGGGAGCAAACAGG